GAUGAACGCUCGCGACAGGCUUAACACAUGCAAGUCGAGGGGCAGCAUAAAAGUAGCAAUACUUUGGUGGCGACCGGCGCACGGGUGAGUAACGCGUAUGCAACCUACCUAUCAGAGGGGAAUAACCCGGCGAAAGUCGGACUAAUACCGCAUAAAACAGGGGCACCGCAUGGUGAUAUUUGUUAAAGAAAUUCGCUGAUAGAUGGGCAUGCGUUCCAUUAGGUAGUUGGUGAGGUAACGGCUCACCAAGCCGACGAUGGAUAGGGGAACUGAGAGGUUGGUCCCCCACACUGGUACUGAGACACGGACCAG
RNAcentral lists this ribosomal RNA (312 nucleotides) under uncultured bacterium. RNAcentral's name for it is "bacterial SSU rRNA". It matches the Rfam family "Bacterial small subunit ribosomal RNA", at positions 28 to 334 of the family's 1533-position model. The record is from RNAcentral.